ACGCGAAGAACCUUACCUACUCUUGACAUCCAGAGAACUUAGCAGAGAUGCUUUGGUGCCUUCGGGAACUCUGAGACAGGUGCUGCAUGGCUGUCGUCAGCUCGUGUUGUGAAAUGUUGGGUUAAGUCCCGCAACGAGCGCAACCCUUAUCCUUUGUUGCCAGCGAUUCGGUCGGGAACUCAAAGGAGACUGCCAGUGAUAAACUGGAGGAAGGUGGGGAUGACGUCAAGUCAUCAUGGCCCUUACGAGUAGGGCUACACACGUGCUACAAUGGCAUAUACAAAGAGAAGCGACCUCGCGAGAGCAAGCGGACCUCAUAAAGUAUGUCGUAGUCCGGAUUGGAGUCUGCAACUCGACU
This 358-nucleotide ribosomal RNA is filed under the name bacterium enrichment culture DGGE gel band MC14. RNAcentral's name for it is "bacterial SSU rRNA". It matches the Rfam family "Bacterial small subunit ribosomal RNA", at positions 959 to 1317 of the family's 1533-position model. The record is from RNAcentral.